This 356-nucleotide ribosomal RNA is filed under the name uncultured bacterium. RNAcentral describes it as "bacterial SSU rRNA". It matches the Rfam family "Bacterial small subunit ribosomal RNA", at positions 8 to 353 of the family's 1533-position model. The record is from RNAcentral.
AGAGUUUGAUCAUGGCUCAGGAUGAAUGCUAGCUACAGGCUUAACACAUGCAAGUCGAGGGGAAACGACAUCGAAAGCUUGCUUUUGAUGGGCGUCGACCGGCGCACGGGUGAGUAACGCGUAUCCAACCUGCCCACCACUUGGGGAUAACCUUGCGAAAGUAAGACUAAUACCCAAUGAUAUCUCUAGAAGACAUCUGAAAGAGAUUAAAGAUUUAUCGGUGAUGGAUGGGGAUGCGUCCGAUUAGCUUGUUGGCGGGGUAACGGCCCACCAAGGCAACGAUCAGUAGGGGUUCUGAGAGGAAGGUCCCCCACAUUGGAACUGAGACACGGUCCAAACUCCUACAGGAGGCAGCA